This 10607-nucleotide long non-coding RNA is filed under the name Musa acuminata (dwarf banana). RNAcentral's name for it is "long non-coding RNA (MACU_LNC003497)". Lineage: Eukaryota; Viridiplantae; Streptophyta; Magnoliopsida; Zingiberales; Musaceae. The record is from RNAcentral.
GGAUGUUAAAUAAAUCAAAUUCAGUAACAAAGUGUACUAAAUUUGAUGGGAUGUGAAAUAAUUAGUAUGUGGUACGAGGUGAGGUAGAGUUAGUGGCGUGAGGUGAGAUAGAAGAAGACCUUAAAAUAUUUUAAUUGAGACUAAAAAUAAAAAUUUUAAUAUUCUUAAUUUAACUAACCCGAAGAUGUUUUACGUGCCUCCAUGGUAGCAAAAAAUAUCGAUAUGGUCGGCCCCAAAUACUUGAGACUUGUAGCUUUAUUAUUAUAGUUAUUUUUCAGCAUUUUUAAAUUCGAUUGCCAUAUGACUAAAUUCAUCUUUCCUUUAGAUGUCACAAAAUUCCCUUUCAAACUUGUGGACACAUGAAAACAACCAAGUCGACCAGACUCAAGGACGUUGAAGAAACUAUCUUUGAGAAAAUAAUGAAUCUUAAAAUGCCUUUCUCAAUACUGACAGUGAUUACAGCAUCUAUCAAUAUUUUUAAUUUUGAGUACCAGACCUAUACUGGUCCUAACCUAGACUGGUAUGGGUCCGAGCCGUACCAGCACAUUGCGUCGGUAAGUCAGAAUGUACUGAAUUUUGAAAAAACCUAAAAAAAGGUUGAACGAUAGAAAAGUUACCAGUACAGGACUUGUACCACAUGGUACAGGCCUUAUACCAGACGUACCAGGUGGCUCAAGCCCUAUAUCGGAAGCCUAGUACACGUGCCCAUAGUGUUGAACUGAUAAGCACCACCAGUACCAAACUAUAAGGAUGGUAUUACAAAGUACAAACCUUGGCAUACAUCCAAUCCACAGAGAGAAAGAGAGAGAGAGAGUACUAAAAGGGUCACCUAGUUCGCAGAGCUCCCGCCAAUGAAGCUCUAAGAAUGGUGAAUAAACGCAACCUUACCACAACAAGCAAAAUGUUAUGACCCUUUUUUAUCAAACACCAUGGAUGACUUUAUUUGUCGUAUAGCACAUAAUUUGUAAGAUUUUUUGGACACUCCCAUUAGAGCAUAACAUGAAAAUGAUUAUACAUACUUGUGCUUCCAUAAUAUUAUGAAAUAUCAAGUAAUUAAUGAAUUAACAUUUUGUAAAACAUAGCAUUUUGACUGCCUACUUAAAUAAAAUGAAAGAGAUGCUCACUAAACAAAAAUUGGUUGGGUACCUUUUCUUUAGCCCAGCCAAAAGCGAAAUUGUAUAUUUCACGAAAUUUUUCUGGAGGCAUGAAACACAAAAUUUAUUAGAAAAGCUUGAAGAAACGAACAUAAGGCAUGUGUUUCAGUUUUGUUUAUAACAGUGUAUAAAACUUCAAAAUAACUUGAAUAAACAUAUGCCAAGUAGCUUCCAAAAUAGAGAAUGGGACAGAUAACACUCACGUUCAUCUUUUAGCUCACUUCGCAUAUAUGAUAACUUAUCACGAAACUUCUCAAUUGUAUCUAUCCUGCAUCAAAACAUUUUACUUUCAACACAAACAAAUUGUAUCUUCAUAUGUCAAAACUCCUCCAACCUACUCAGAAGAUGAAAGAAUAAGCAACUCAGUGAGGCCAAAUAUUACCCAAGAUAUUGUAAUCCACCAAUGAAUUCCUGCCGAGAGAACUCACACAUUGUAGCAGCCUUCAUGUGCCAAGAUACAACUAACUGUCGUAAAAGAAACCAAAAGCACACAGCACCUUAUAAUUAGUGUACUGUAAGUGCUUCAGUAAAUCACCAAAGCAAACACAAUGUAAAGUAGAAACUUAGCUGAUCAGAAAAUAGCAGUAGUCUUUAAAUUAUUUAACCACAGUAAACAAAUAAGAAAGCAGCAAGAUAGGAGAAAGUAAGAUAAUGGAAUAAGAAAGAAGAAAAGACCAGAUACACAGAAGUAGGAUUGCAAAAAAACAGAGAAUUCCAGUCCAAAAUCCAAUAAUCCAUUAUGAUCUUGUGAGUCAUUUGAAUCACUAUUCUUCAUCCCACUAAGAAUUCUGAAAAAUACUGGCGUAGCACCAGGAUUCAGAUUUUCCCAUAAUGCCCUUCAGCACUUUAUUGAACAUUCAUUUAUCUCAGAAUAGGAGCCCUAAAUAACAUAAAAUUUCAAGUCAUGCUUGAGCACAAUGAUUGUGUAAGAUCCCAUCAAAUGCUAUGUUUCUCUCUUCUGUUCUGUACCAUAUUUGUUCAACGCAUGAAUCUUGCCUGAAGGUGUCAGGGUGCCUAACCUUGUUAGCCAAGGAAUGUCAUUUCAGGUACUGGACCUGUCUCAGUCCCCUGGGUCAGUCCAGUAUCCAUCAGUCGGGGCCAAUGUACCAACACAUUUCGAGGAGGAAGAAGAAGAAGAGAAAGGAACAUAUGGCGGUGGAGGAAGAGCAAGACGAAGAGGAGGAAGGAGAAGAAAGAAGAAAAAGGAAGAAUAGGAGGCAGUGGAGGAAGGAGGAGGAGAAGAAAAGGAAGCUCCUCAUUUUUUAUCUGAUCCCAAGUUUGAUUGUGGAACUCUUAUAAGUAUGGCAUAAAACAAGAAAAUUGAAUGUUAGUGAUGUAUGACACAUGACAGAAAGGGGUAAAAGGAUAUUAUAGGAUUUAAUUCGGUUCAUGGUCAAUUUUCAAGGUCGCUGAAAUCUUUAAAUCAUAUUUGAUUUUUAUGAAAGGACAAAUAUAAACUAGGACUAGUAUAAAGGAAGAAGAAAUUUUAGAUGAUCCAUAUACAUACUCACUUUGACUUUGAGAAUCACUCAUAGGAUUAAAAACAAUGGUAACACACCAUUAUGAAGAAAUUUCUUCUAUUGAUCUAAACUCCAAUUGCUUCACCACUUCAUUUGCUUAUAACCUUUUACCCUUCAAAUAGAUCCUCAAUUACAAGCAGAAAAAAGAAAAACAAAAGAACUAAAAAAAGAGUUCACUUAAGAAGAUACUAUUCCAUGAGCCAAGGCUAAUCGAUCACCCACAUUUCAUUCUCAGAAGAACUAUUUUCAAAUUUGUUCAAAAUUCCUUUUUAUACAUAUUCUUUAUUGCUAUUAAUUUCCUUCUUUGGAUAGAAUCUUCAAUUGAGAUCAUUAUUCCUUUUCUUCCAUUUUCAUUUGGCUACUCUUUCUUCCCUUGAACAAUCGUAUAAUUGAAAAUACAUAUGAUGUUGCCAUGUAACAAAUUUUGACAUUUGAAAAAAAAAUAAAACAAAAUUAAAAUUAAUAUAAAACAAAAAUGGUUCCUACACCAAAUAGUUCAUGCUGUAUGGUAAUGAAACACCUCAUGUUUUAAUUAAAAAUACCUCUUUCCUUGCAGACUAAGCAAGCAUAAGAGGAAUGCCGGAGAAGCAACAAAUUAUUCAAACAACUCAUUUUGGACCUUUCCUUUUACAAAUAUCAAGCAUUGAAUGUAAGUUCUUCAUAAGGUAAAAGAUUUAUUACAGUUUCAUGUCAAUCAUUUCAAGUUGUAGCAUGGGACUUGGACUUGCAUUGUCACUCUAGGCCCCUAGAGACUCAAGUCAUGAAACUCUUAUUUUUCACUGGCAAAGAUGUUAAUUAUCCCAAUGGAGCUUUUUGUUGUGCUAAAGUUGUUCAACAUCAUGAAUCUGGAGUCAACAUAAUGAAGGCAUGAAAACUUUGAUUAUCUGAAACCAUGUUGACAGAGCCUCCAAUUAUGAGACAAAUUUAAAAGUAAAUGAAGUAGAGGAAAAUAGAAGAAAGAUAUAAAAAGAUAGAAUAAAUGAGAAAUGAGAAUUGGAGAAAACAAAAAAAUCCAGCAUGUCAUAAAUCAUCAUUAUUAACUCAUAAUUUAUCGGUCAUGAUUUCUCUUAAGACUCAUUGUAGACAAGUAUCCUAGUCUUAGAAUAAUUCCCAACAAAUCUAAAUGACCCUAAAACUUUACAAGAAUAUCUGGAACUUCAAAUCACUUCAAGAUACCAUAAAACUCUAUUUUAAUGUUUACAAUCCAGAUGCAGGACAUCAAAGUUUUGACUGGAUCAGGUGAUACAAACACUACCAUAGCUACUUGAACAAUGACAAGAUGGAACCUAAUGAAAAGGGAAGAGAUAAUAUAAAGACCCAUAGGCACUCUAUAAACUUAGUGAAGAGACUGAAUUGAACAAGAACUUAAUAUGACUCAAACGAAACAUGUUCAACACAAGACAAGGUCACAUAUCUACCAUGAAGAACCAAAAUUGAUUAUAUUGCACCAUAAACUACUUCUUCCUUAUUAUAGUGCAAUACAGAAGAAAGUUCGCCAAAUAAAAGUUCUGCCUGCAACUGAAGAGUCUUUGACUGGUGCAGUUAGCAGCUAUCAAAUGACAGACAUAAAGUAUCUAAAAGUUCCUUAGACUAUAAACUUAAUGAAGAGACUGAAUUGAACAAGAACUUAAUAUGACUCAAACGAAACAUGUUCAACACAAGACAAGGUCACAUAUCUACCAUGAAGAACCAAAAUUGAUUAUAUUGCACCAUAAACUACUUCUUCCUUAUUAUAGUGCAAUACAGAAGAAAGUUCACCAAAUAAAAGUUCUGCCUGCAACUGAAGAGCCUUUGACUGGUGCAGUCAGCAGCUAUCAAAUGACAUACAUAAAGUAUCUAAAAGUUCCUUAGACCAAGAUUUGACAAAAGGCAACUUUUGGCUAGAUAAAGCCAUCUACUUGCAAACAUUAACAAGCCAAGCUUGACUAACAGAUUCUAUUAGGCACAGAUCAACUUGUUUAUGGCAUAAACAGAGCUGUUCACAAACAGAUCAAUUUCAAAAACCUUCCACCAUACUAAGUGCUAAAAUCAACAGUCUUUUUAACAACCAUGCUAUGACAGAAAAAAUAACAAGAAGGUAUGCCCACUUUAUCAAUUAUGCUAGCCUAGAGCAUAGAACCACAAAUGAUCCAAUAAAGUGAGAAUAUUAUCAGGAUGAACAUUCAUGAGUACCUUACAAUGUCAAAGAACAACAUAUAGUGAUAACAGUUCACCAAAAGCAUCUUUACCAAUAGAUGCUGCUACAUUAAGGCCCAAACUCAUGCUGAUAUAAUCAUGCCUACAUAGUUCAGAAUGGCACUGUACCAUGGAGUCCAAUAGAAGCAUGGCAUAUUAUAAUUUAAAAUGAAGAGGAUAACAUGCCGUACACAGAACUAUAAUCACACUCAUAAAACUCAAUUUUGUCUCGACCAAUUCAUACCGGCCCAUAUAUACAGGUCUCAGCAUGAACCAGGAAACAUACCAGCCCUUUUUUGGGCAAUUGAAUCCCUUUUUUUGGCAUGACCUGCAGCAGUGCAACUUAUGGUUUAAACAUGGCAGGCAAUCGCACGCUGCCACCUGCCUGAACUGCAGGCCCACCCACCUGCCACCUUCUAAUCCACCUUCACCUCCUAUUCUUCUCCUUUUCCUCCAUUCCUCCUCUUCCUCUCUUCCCUCCCGCUCCCCCUCCUCCCCUUUUCUUGGUACAACAGGCAGCACCAACUUACAAUAUACCAUGUGUUAAUAUGCCAACAUUGGCCAGAACAAUACUGGUCCGGUCAUAAAUUAGUAGGGAUCUGGUAACAAAACCAAAGUUACCCCACAAAAAUACCAAAAAGUAAUGCAAAGGACUUAUUCAUGUCAUAUAUGCACUCACCAUAACAAUAUCUUGAGGAUCCACCUGCAAGAACCAACAACAGGUCACUAGCUAUAAGACAAAAGAAACAACAGAACAAGAAAAUUAUACUUAAAAGAUGAAAUGAUCCUUUUGUUAUGCAAGUUAAACAAAAACAAAAAUGAACGCAAUGAAAAAUUAUAAAAAACAUAUUCCUAUUGAAAAAUUAUAACUAAACUAUUAUAUAUGAGCUAAAAGCUGACAUGUAAAUUAUGAUCAGUUUGUACAAUAGUCAACAGUUCUCCUUCAAAACUUUUUUAUUCUGCUCAAUCUGAACAAGUCCCCUUUAAAACUUAUUAAGAAAGUUGAAUAUAAUUGGUGCCCAAGGAAACAACAAUUUUUAAAAUCUUAAAACUUUGAGCUGCAUAUAUUUUCUUUAAUAAAUAACAUAGUAGUUAUAAUACAUAAACUGACUCCACUGCCAUCACUGUCAAACAUUCCAGAUUUUCCUAGCACCAUUUGUUGGCAUAACAAAACCAGUUCUGACAUAUAUAUUGGUAAUGUGCACAUAAGAGAACAAACUGUAGUGUGCCAUACGAGAAACAACUUAAACAAAUCUUACCUGCAAAUCAUUGCAAAGAAGAGUUAUACCAUCCACCAGUAUCAUAUCAACAUAAGGAUCUGCCACAAUAGAAAAUAUUUCAUUUUAUCACUCCAUGAAGCAUAAGCAUCAAUGAUGCAACAGCCAGUUGUAUUAAAUUACAUAUUUAGACAGACAACAAUAAGUGAAUGAUUUUCAUGUCAAAUUCUCAAUGAUUAUGCUGGCAAACGAUUGGUUAAAGCACAUCUACAUAAUCACUGAUUAUUCAAUUCUGAAAAAAUCUUAGAAAGAAGUUUACAUCAAUUCAGAGCAAGUAGACCAUGCAAUGAACAUAAAAAAAACAGCUCAAUGUUAUACAUUGCGAGGGCAGGAAAAAACAGGAGAGUAUUUGUGGAAAAUAAUGGACCCAUGUGCCAUUUUUGGACACCAUAAGCUCAUAUUGGGGGUCAUCUUAUGAAAUACUACCAUUGUUUCAAAAUGCAGUCUAUAUGAUCACAUAUGCAUAUGCAGUCAUAUGACUGCAUAUGCAUAUGGUAUUAUUGUAUAUGUGAAAAUUGUCUUACAUAUACGGUUUCCAUAAACAUGGAAAUGUUCUUAUGAAUAUGGUUUAUGUGCAUGUCUCAAUAACUACUAAUAUGGUCCAUAUACAUUCCCGAUACGCAUUGGAUCGGUCCAUCCUGGAAGGUAUUACAUCCAAUGAAGGAUCGACAAAAGGACCAGCUCUUGCACCACCCUCUAUGACCGACUCACCAACCCACUAGGUAUUCCUCUACUCUUGCACCACCUUCUCCACUUCUCUUUCUCCUCAUCCUUCUCCCCCACUUCUCAAUAUUGCCUCACUACCAUACCAACAUAUUGUAUGUCCGUAUGCUGAUAUGUACCAGAUUUGUGUCAGACCAACCAGCAACUUGUAUGGGUCCAAUACCAGAAAUUUUUAACCAUAGUUCAAUAAAUUUUUAACCAUACUAUAAAAGACGGUUUUUAUUUUUUUGGUUUGGACUCAACAUAUAAAUAUACCUAAUUAUGAUUUAAUAAUUCACAUUUAAAAGCACAUUUAAUACAGUACCUUGGCUGCCCUCAUUCUGCAGCCACUUUUAAUAGCAAUAAAAUUACAAUUAUACAUCUGCAUACCACACGCGAUACAAUAUCUUGAACACUGCAUUCAGCAGCAGUUUCUAGAACAGUAAAAUUACAGUUACACAACAUAAUAUACAGUACCUUCACCACUAGCAUUCUGCAGCAUGUUUUAGAACACUAAAAUUAUGGGAUUUUACCAUGUAUCAAAAAUACAAAUACCAAAUGUUUAGAGAAAAUAAAUUUUGUACAAAUUUCACAUGAAGUGAUCAUAAUACAAAAUAUCGAUAUAUCAAAAUGAAACAUGAUCAAUCAUGAUCUAUAUAGCAUCAACAAAUCAAAUAUCAAGAAGUGCCCAUUAAAGGGGUGCCAGGUAAAAAAUAGAGGUUAAAAAGUUAUCUAAAGUGGCUUUAGAUUAAACAUAGUGGUCUAGUGUAAUUUAAGUUGAGCCAGGAAAUCCAUGUUAAAUUCAUCCAGUCACUUAAAGAGCUGUUGGAUAACCCCAUUGAAGCAGUUAUAAUAGCAGCCAAAAGCCAACUAUGUCAAUCAUCAAGCGCCCAAAAGACAAUUUUCAAUUAGCUUCCUCUAUACCUUGUUGACUUACAAACCAAUCAAAAACAUAACACUUUAAAAUAGAAAAUUAAUGUACAAUAAUUUUUACAAUUAAAAAUAUUUAAUUAAAUGAAAUUAUGACCCUUUCAGGACCUGAAACACUUCUACGUGUUCUAUCUCAUGCCUAUAUUUUUUUUUGAAAAUGUUAUGAUAGAAUAUAAUCAACAUCAGCAUUUUUUUUUAAAAGAAAUUUCUACAUGCCACUAAGCGAAAUAAAAAUUAUAUGAAUCAACCAGCUGCAAAAAGAACAGAAAGAGCCUUGUAAACAGAAUGAACUUCAGAACAGUAAGAGAUGACAAUAAAUUAUCAUCUCAACAGUUUGGUAGCUUAUGUUCAAAUUUUUUUAAUCCUCAAGGCUAAAAUAAUAAAUUCAACAAUCAGAAACACUCACUUGCAUGGUCAUGCUCCAAGAAAAAUUGUGCAUUCAGGUUAUAAGAAGCUAUCACGAGCAAGAUGUGACAGUUAUGGCGACAAACAACUUAAGAUGUCUAUAAGACAGUAAAAAGGCAAGGAGACACUGCACAGAUGCUACAGAGGCAAGGUAGAUUAUAAAAUGCAUCAGUACCAACCGGUAUUGGCACCAAACCAAGAUUUUAAUCCUUGCACAAGAUAAAAGUUGGGUGCAAUAACAACAUUCCUUCCAUAAAGUGUUAUAAGUGCAACUUAAUGGCAAUAAACAGCAUGAGUCACACAAACAUCCAGCCAUUUUUUAACAAGAAACAUAGGCACAUGUUGGAAUGGACAGGGCAUAAUAAGUGCAAGAGCAUACAACAAAAAAUAAUUGCUCAAGGAAACUUGCCUUUGUAUCUGUUAUAGAGUUCUUCAAGAUGCCUGGAGUCAGUAACAGUUCUAAUAUGGGGUUGGCUAUAAAAUAUGUCAAAAGCCCCCUCUAAAUGCCAAUCACUGGCUUUCAAAGCCUGAACAGCAGCUUUCUCACUGUGAAAAUUAUAGAAUCAUGUUUAUGGAUGAUUAAAAUAUGCAUAAAAGUAAAAGAAAUGCAAAUCAUGAAAUGUGAAACUUUAAAUAAAAAGAAAGUCAUAAUUAAUCUUGACCGUUGGCAUACUUAGACCAUUAACAUACAUAGACUAUUGUCUACAUCAGAAGCACAAAAGUUAAAAUAACCAAAGAUUCAAAUCUCGAUCCAAUACCAGUCUCGAUAAACCAAUUGGACUGUUGUGAUACCAGUAUACAAGGUGGUAAAGUUGAUGGUGAUAAUCAGUUCUUAAUGUCUGAGUUAUGUUGCUAAAAGUUGGAAAAAGCAUUUAUUUAAACCUAAUGCUAGUAUGAAGACAGAGAUAAAUGAAAAUUGAUACAUGAACAAAUGUAUUAAACCUUAAACUAAAAGCACUUCCCAUCAAAGUAAGACAGGAGGCUAAGGAUCCUAUGAAAAGAAAAGAGCAUGGCUUGAGUGAAUGCAAAUAUAAGCGAUUAGACCCAUGCCGGUCCAGCCAUGGACCAGCAUGGGUCCAAUACCAAAAAUUGGAUUCCUUGUCAAAGACAAAAGUUGUUUAGGUAAACAAGGAGAAACGGUGAUUGUAUUUCCAUAGCAAACGAUAAAAAUAAGCAAUUUAAAACAGAUACUCUUCCUGAAGCAGUCAAGCAGAACACCUUUUUUGUUGAUUGGAUGACAUCAUUAAGGACCAUCACAAGAAAUGUGUAGAACUGAUGUCAUUACUAUCACCACAAGCAAUGUGUAGAACUGAUAUGUCAUUACUAUCACCACAAGCAAUGUGUACAACUGAUAUGUCAUUGCUAUCACGAAUAUUUUGCAUCUCAUUGAAAAAUACUGAUAUUGUAGCUACCAAGUCAUCUGAAUUCUAAACUGUUAUCCACUAAUUACUAUGGCAGCCUUAUCCCAGAUACUGAAAGGCUUUUUCUAUGAUACAUAUCCAUGGUAGCCCUUGUACAGAACUUGGAGAAAAUGUUUCAUGUUUUAGUAAGUGGUAUACCUCGAUCCCGUUAUUGCCAUGAACUGCUGAACUUUGUCUCGAUGUCCUCUUCCCAAUUUAUGCUGUUAAAGAUCAAAAUUAACAUACUUAACUUGAUAACCAUUAAGAACUAAUCCGAAUGUAAUACAGAAUCAUUUGAAAAUUUCACAGACAAGAAAGGCAACGACACAAUAUAAAUCUUCAGGCCUUUUGGAGGUGACAAACUAGCAACGUCAAAUUCCAUGAUCCACCAAAGUUAUGGAAUCUAUAUCCAGAAGGCAAAAGGAGCAAUAUACAGAUAAGUAUAUGAUUUCUGUAACCCUCUUUUCUGAUUUCAUGAAAUCGUUUUACCUUUUUUCAACUAUAUAGAAACCUAUAGACAUAAAUUUAUUGAAAAUGUUAAUACUUCACUUUCCCUUCUUUAAGGCUAAUGAAUCGUCUCGAUGAAAAUCUCACACACUUUCUCUACCUAAACUGUCCUAAUUAUUUAAUAAUAUAAGCUCCAAUUAUCAGCCAAAAUUAAAAUUUUCGAACAUGUCGCCAAAAAUAUAUCUUGAUCAUUACUGCUUUAAGAAAUAAAAAGGCAGAGACAAAAGGAGGAGGAAAACCAGUCCUGAGCUUAAAGAAAAAGGAAAAAAAAGCAGGAUUAGUAAUCGAAAGCCAUAACUAAGAAUCGAAUUCCACACCGAUGAAUGAAACGACAUGAGCACUAACCAUUUUUAUAUCACCGAGCAAACCCUAAUUCGUCUCUCGUUUUUCCUUAUUGAGAAGGGAUCGACGGAAAGGGCGAUUUCGAAGAGAGGAAAAUUAGGAUUUUGGUAGCCUCUUUUUCAGAUUUCUUUCUCUUCUCCUCUCUCGUCGUCGCCUUUUCUUUCCCCCUUCCCUUCUCCUUUCACCUUUUCGCAC